GACGAACGCUGGCGGCGUGCUUAACACAUGCAAGUCGAACGGAAAGGCCUCUUUCGGGGGGUACUCGAGUGGCGAACGGGUGAGUAACACGUGAGUAACCUGCCCUUGACUUUGGGAUAACUUCAGGAAACUGGGGCUAAUACCGGAUAGGAGCUCCUGCUGCAUGGUGGGGGUUGGAAAGUUUCGGCGGUUGGGGAUGGACUCGCGGCUUAUCAGCUUGUUGGUGGGGUAGUGGCUUACCAAGGCUUUGCCGGGUAGCCGGCCUGAGAGGGUGACCGGCCACAUUGGGACUGAGAUACGGCCCAGACUCCUACGGGAGGCAGCAGUGGGGAAUAUUGCACAAUGGGUGGAAGCCUGAUGCAGCAACGCCGUGUGCGGGAGGACGGCCUUCGGGUUGUAAACCGCUUUCGCUCAUGACGAAGCUUUGUGUGACGGUAGUGGGUAAAGAAGCACCGGCUAACUACGUG
This 467-nucleotide ribosomal RNA is filed under the name uncultured bacterium. RNAcentral describes it as "partial 16S ribosomal RNA". It matches the Rfam family "Bacterial small subunit ribosomal RNA", at positions 28 to 507 of the family's 1533-position model. The record is from RNAcentral.